UUUGCAGCGGAAAUCUUAUUACCAAAUUUUACAAGUUACAUCAAGUUUUACAAUGUAAAUGAUCGAAGUGAUUACAAAAAGUGAUUCAAAGAAGUAACUUUGAACUGUUAUAAAUUAUUUGUAGUUUUGAAAUAUAUGCUAGCUUAAGUGACCAUCCUCAAUAAGAAGUAUAGAAGAGUUACUUAGACUUAUAAGAAGGUCGAGCCCACCGACACUUAACACCAUCAUCAACAGCACAAAACUAUAACCUGAAAAACAACAGGGAAUAAAACCCUGAGUAUGGAAUUACUCAGCAAGACUUACCCGACUAAAGAAAAGACUCUCAAAGAUAUGCUGGAUUUGGGAAUCAAGGAGAGGCUUUAGCAAAAAUCAACUUAGAUACUUUUGCAGAAUUAGCUUACUAAAGUGAGUCCUUACUUUCAAUAUUUUAACGCCAGAUUAAAUAUUAAUAGACUUCGUUUGCAUCUGGUCUAAUUUCACCAUCUCAUCAAUACAACAUCAUUUUUAUUCAUGAGGUUCACAUCCUGACUUAGGUUGCAGGGCAGCGAUCAAGUCUCCACUCUCCGGGGAUAUAACGGCGAUCCGAAUCGAUUUACUCAGCUGAGGAUCUCUAACCACACGACAUAUGUAGCACUUAACCCUUGCAUAUGUCAACCGUUCCCACAGAUCCUCCACAACGUGAACCGGUCCGCGCUACCCGGGAGCACAGUACUCCUCCAUCCAGCCUCUAGCCAGGAGGGUACACGCUACUCCCACCAUCUCCCACGCCCAGUGCGCGGUUGUCUUUUCACGUAUGGAAUAGCCGGGUUCAAGCUUACCCUGUCCCAUUUCUAGGGCAUAUGGCCAGUUAAGAUAGUCCUUGAUCAUACAGGCCUACAUACGCAUCCAAUCCUUAAUUGACCCGGACGGAACAUCACCUGUUCCUAGCCCAAGUCCCGAUUUAAGUACUUCCACCCUUAGGAUUGUUUUGUGUUCCUAAGGAUGAAAAGAGCAUUAUAGGGAACCUUGCAGUAAGAUCCCACCAUGCUCCCAAUGAAAAUAUCCGUGCAGGUAGAAGUCAUCCUUCCUCAGGAUCAUCCUGAGCUAGGCAUAAGUGCAAAGGACAAACUCUAUCUGCCUAUAAGCAGGGCUAAGCAUUUUUUUGUAAAUCAUAUUUUGAUACUUCACCAGAAGUAUCUAUAAAAGGGAUGGAUAUCAAGGUAGCCAAUGCAUCAAAGGGUUUUCAAGCAACUCCUAUAAACUUAAUGCACAUUCACUAGACUUAAAGUGUGUAAAAAUAAUUUAAAAAUACAAGGAAGGGGUUGCAUGCACCGGGGCUUGCCUAGGUAACACUAGGUUAGUGUUUGUUAGGCGACCACUUGACGAGCAUCCAUUGGCUUGGCACUCGUUCAGAUUAUCUAUCUUCCGGUUCGUUCAUCGGCAUCAUCCUGCGGAUUAGCUCGCGCUUGGUGUCGACUUAACUCUUUUCCUUCGUCUUACUUGAUUAAUUAUCGUACCUCAUGAGAUGCAUAAUGCACAUGUAUGAGCAUAAAGUAACCGGAUGAUACAAAAAAAAAGAAUCAAAUAUUUAGCGGCAAGACAUCGAAACAAUCCUACGAAAGCACUAGACAUCUAUAACUCACUAAACACAACAAUCACGAUUUUUCUAGUUUUACUAGAUUUAACUAACGGGAAUAAUAGAUCAGCUUACCCUGAUCGAAUCGACCCGAUAACCGUGAGGGCGACGACGACUUGGCGAGGAGGUGAGCGAGACGUCGCAGCACGCGGAGUGAACUCAGGACGAUAUCGAGAGCGCCGAUGCUGCCGUAGCGAGAUCGAGACAAGGACGAGGAUGCCAAUCAGGUGUAGCGAGACAACAGAGAAUAGAUGGCACAGUAGACGUCUCCACGGCGGCAUCACAGUACCACUGUGAGGUCUAGUAGUAGCUGACAACGCCGGCGAGUUCCACAAGCCGGAACGUGCACAGCAUCAAAACAGACGAGCACGUGACCCGGCGACCCAGCACAGGCACACACGAAACCGAGCUCCAUGGCCAAGCGCUUGAGUCGGUGAGCGUGCAGCCGUGGAAAAGAAACGACGACUGGAGGCGCUGCCUGGCGAAGGAAAGAACGCGCCCGACUUUGGCUAGAACCAGCGGCACGAUGGCUUGAAGACUGAGCGAGGCGAGCAACGUGUUGGAGUUGCUGGGGAGCUCGCGCGUCUGGGAAAAUCUAACGUCGACGAGCAGGAGCGAGCGUUCCUGGUGCUGGAGCAGCCCGGCCAGCAGUACGAAGCGCGCAGUGGUGCAGUGGUGAGAUGGGUGGCGUGGGUGAUUCCCAGGGUGUUCAACGCAUCUUGUGAAGGAAGUUUCCAGGAGCUGAAUACGUGGGAAAUAAAUGACGUGAAUGAGAUGCAGAGGUGGCGUGAGGAAGAGCUUCAGUACGUGGCCGGUUGCACAGAACAGAGGGAGAGAUACGUGAGGAAAUUCUCCUUCCAGCUAUCUCUAUCCGUAUGAGAGAAAAAGAAUACGGUAGCUCUUGGGAUAAGAAGAAGAGUAGGCGGUGGGGAUAUUCCAUGGAGAUAGACAUGCUCUAGAAAAUAAAAGGGAUGAGGAUGGCUGAGACAUAGGCGAGCAUGUUGAACCCUGGCCCCCAAAACUGACACAAGUUUCAGUUUCCAACUUGCAAAACAGAGGGAAUUGGAGGACGAUUUUCUUCCAGUUCUAAGUAAUGACAGGAAAUCAAUGCUUAAUAAGAAUGGUUCUCCGAUAAUAACUCUUUAUAUUUGGUGUAA
This 2772-nucleotide long non-coding RNA is filed under the name Zea mays. RNAcentral's name for it is "long non-coding RNA (ZMAY_LNC005878)". Lineage: Eukaryota; Viridiplantae; Streptophyta; Magnoliopsida; Poales; Poaceae. The record is from RNAcentral.